UCAGAAGGCCGGAUGGCCGCUGCCCCGGCGACGGGGAGAGGAAAGUCCGGGCUCCACGGGUCCACGGUGCCGGGUAACGCCCGGCGGGGCGACCCCAGGGACAGUGCCACAGAGAGCAGACCGCCGCCGCUCGGCGGUAAGGGUGAAAGGGUGCGGUAAGAGCGCACCGCCCGGCCGGUAACGGUUCGGGGCAUGGCAAACCCCACCGGGAGCAAAACCGAAUAGGGGCGACACGGGCCGGCUUGCCGGUCCGGCGGCUGGACCCGCCGUCGUCGCCCGGGUUGGUUGCUUGAGGCGCGCGGCAACGCGCGUCCUAGAGGAAUGGUCAUCGGCGCGGGGCAACCCGCGACCACAGAACCCGGCUUACAGGCCCUCUGACGCC
Molecule: RNase P RNA, 382 nt
Filed under: Hankyongella ginsenosidimutans
Lineage: Bacteria; Pseudomonadati; Pseudomonadota; Alphaproteobacteria; Sphingomonadales; Sphingomonadaceae
Description: Bacterial RNase P class A
Rfam family: Bacterial RNase P class A
About the family: Ribonuclease P (RNase P) is a ubiquitous endoribonuclease, found in archaea, bacteria and eukarya as well as chloroplasts and mitochondria. Its best characterised activity is the generation of mature 5'-ends of tRNAs by cleaving the 5'-leader elements of precursor-tRNAs. Cellular RNase Ps are ribonucleoproteins.
Source: Rfam by way of RNAcentral